This is a long non-coding RNA of Syngnathus typhle (broad-nosed pipefish), 613 nucleotides long. RefSeq lists it as uncharacterized. Lineage: Eukaryota; Metazoa; Chordata; Actinopteri; Syngnathiformes; Syngnathidae. The transcript is spliced from 3 exons. The record is from RefSeq and is a predicted model, not a curated record.
CUUACGCUACCUCCUUCCUUUCUCUCCUCCCACCUCUUCCUCCUGCUCUCCCUCACUCUCUACGUGCGCGUCACAACCAAAGGGAGUGCUGCCUUUUACGGGUUAAAAAGAAUCUUGCAACAGUAUCAUAAUGCCAACAGGAAGGAAUAUUAUCCAAAAUGAAUUCCUGGGAAUAACACACCCCAAAGCAAAUCCGCACAUGCUUUAUCGAGAGGUACAAUGCUAAGAGGGGGCUUCAGAAUGAAGAGCGACGGAGUGAGCAAAUGAGUGUCGCCGGUGCGCAGCAUUGUCAUUCAAAUGUGUUGUUGCAGGACAAGGGAAUGGCGCAGGGGCGCUAAUGGGGAGCGUGGGGAGAAGUGGAAUAAUUGGAUGGUAUGACGUGCACCGGGACAGGACGUAAUGUGCACGUGGAUGGAAUUGUGUGACGGCAGUGCUGCGUGGACGAGUACGCGGGCGGUGGUGUGAGGAUAAGGACAGUGCGGGAAUUGUCAUGUAUCGUGUUGUAGUGGUAUUUAGUGGGAGUAAAUAAACAAAUCUAGACAAAAUAUUUUUAUUCUCAAACUGCAAAGUAUAUUGAUUGUGGUUUAUUUCAAAUGUAAAUAAAUACCACAGA